This is a long non-coding RNA of Gallus gallus (chicken), 6035 nucleotides long. RefSeq lists it as uncharacterized. The record is from RefSeq and is a predicted model, not a curated record. The transcript is spliced from 4 exons. NCBI's taxonomy places the organism in Eukaryota, Metazoa, Chordata, Aves, Galliformes, Phasianidae.
GCUUCAGGACAGACCCAUGGAAUAGGAUGGAGUGGGUAUGGAAGAAGCAUUCUCAGAAGGGAUGGUACAUAACACAUAAGGACCACUACAGAAAUCCCCUUGGCACAGUCAGAGGUGCUGUGCUGGUAGCAGCUCUGUGUCCACAGUGGUUUCAUCCAUUGUUCACCAUAUCUUAGACUCGUGCUUUGAGUCCUUACAGUAAGCACAGGCUAAUGUUUAAAAUGCUUUUGCAUUCCAAGUGAGUCCCUGGAAGGCCUUCAGGGAAAGGAAAGACGUUUCUAAGCAGAUAAUUGUAAGCAGCUUUUCAGAUUUUGGAUACCUUUGAGGUGGGCCUGCUUUGCCUCUGCUCAUUCACAGCAGUUUAUUUCUCCAAACAGUUGCUUUCUAUUCCAAAACAAAUUCAUCUCAGUAACCGCUUUUUCCUUUGAUGUGCUUCACACUGAGAUACAACUGAAUGGCUGGGGACAGUGGUAGGUAUUCUACUUGCCUUGUUUGAACAUUAACAGGAGAUGAAUUUUCUCUCAUCCCUCUGGAAUUUCCCUACUGGGCAAACAGUUAUGAGCUGUUAGCAACAGGAGACAACAGCACUGCUUAAGAAUAAUACCCAAAAAAGCACUUGUAAUGCUUUUGAACUCUCUGCUCGUUGUAGUGCAACCUGCAUAGUGACAACUUCAUGUUCACUUGGAUCUGGUGGAAGGUGUGGAAUAACUGAGCUACAGCUCUUCUGGCUGCCUUUAGUCUUUCCUUCCCUACCGUCUCCUCCUCCUGUACUGCUGGCACAUCCUUUGCACAACGUCUAACGCAUCCAUCUGUUCAGCUGAGGUAAGGAUCUGCCUUUACACACGCAGAUAGGAAUCUCAAACCAAAGGACGCGUUCUGUGAGCCUGGAGCUUUGCUUCUCUUCAGCAGCGAUGUUUCCACUGAACAUGAGACGGUUUGGUUAGUCAUGAUUUCCAGAAGUGCUCAUGAAUAACUAUGAGGUACCAUUGUGGGUUUGGAAAAUAAACAUUUACAACAGUCCUCCGCUAAGAAGCUGGAUCAGAGUCCUUCCAAGGUUUGGAAUUGAUUGAGGUAAUCUCAUUUGCUGAAGCAGUAUCGUGGAACUUGUCUGCUAGCGAGAGAACCAGUUUGAAGAGGGAGCUUCCAAAGAGAACUGCUAAGAAGGGCAAAGAGGGGUGCUGGCACUGGUCUUCGCCAUCAUCCCUUCAAGUCAUGGGUUACAGGAACCAUCUGAUUGAUGCGGGUGCUGUCUGAUGGGCGGCCGCACUGCGGUGUCCACACAGCAGGUUUGCCUCUGCGUGCAGCAGUGCUCCUCAUCCUUCCUAAAGGAAGCACAACAGUUUGCCUUCAGUCUUCUUAGAGGCUGAAAGAAGUGACUUCAAGUGUCUGUCUACAGGUUUUCUGAAAGCAAGCUGGGCAAGCAACAAGCAAGAGAGCAGGUUGAGCUGACCCUGCCAGGUCCAACGUGGGCUGAAUGCCCUCUCAAAAUCCCUUUUGGAAAAGCUUUGCAUUAACAUUUGGCUCAAAUCUGCCUGCAGGGAGAUAAGAAGCAUUGGAGAGCACUUGUCAGGACAAAGAAUGCCAGAGAAACCAGGGCAGGUGCUUUUUGACAGUGGAAUUUUGUAAUUAGCUUGCUUGAAGUUGGAAAUCCCACACAAAACCUCUCCAGUGUGUAACGCAGCCGUUGUUUGGUGUGCUGGACAUCAGACUUUGCAUGCAGUUUUGUUUCUUACGCUUCUGAAAUCCCUCAAAGAACCGUCGUACCGUUCUUCUGGUGGCAGUGUCUCUGCGAAGCCAUCCACAGACAUUGCCCUUCUUCCAUCCAGUCCUCUGCUACCUGUGCAGCUGUGAUGGGAGCGAGCGUUGCACCGUGGAUUCCAUUGCUUAAGCCCUUGUUCCUCACAGACAGAACUGCUUUCUAUCUGAUCUUCUUCAGGCACAAGCAGGCAGCAAGGUGGGCGUUGCACUGCUCUGCCAGGGCGCAGAGGUGGUUGCCAGCUCCAACAAGCACAAAAGCACGUGGUGAAAGCUUCAUCCUUUGAACUACGCGUCCUUCAGAAACCUGUAGAGUUUGUGUUCCAGUUCAGUUCCCAGCCAAGAGCUGCUGUGCAGGCUCAGAAAGCAAACAGCCUGGCUCCAGCCCUUCUGCAGCCCUCCUUAAGCAGCAUAUUUUUGAGUCACACUCAAUGCAGCGGGCUAAGUAUUCCUUGUGCUGCUUCUGGGAAGGCCGAGCGAAGUCCGAUAACUCACCUACCAAGUUCCAGCGACGGGGAAGGAAGUACAGAGAAUCAAAUAGAAACCAGCAUCAGGAAAUCUGCACGUGAGACCGCUGCCAUCCCUCCGGCCCUCCAUCUGCUCCCUCGCACCGCAGAGCUGAGGAUGCCCUUCAGCCCACGUGGCCGAGCGCCGCAGCCCCCCAGCACGCAUCCCUGCUGACCUCAUGUGCUUGGGAAGUCAUAAUUUCCUCCUACUUCCAGAGAAAAAUGACCAAACCUCCCCUGCUCUACAUUCUCUGGGUUGCAGCUAAGUCACGGCACAGCUGUGCUACAUCUGGGAGAGCAUCAGCCAGCUGAGGAUCAGGGCUGGCACACAGCGCCCAGCAAUGAGUGAUGCUGCGAUGACUUCUAACGUUGCUCAGCCAUUUUGGGGCAGUAGGCUGUGUGAGUCUGCGCUGUGUAAGACAGAAAAUGAAAACGUUUCUAAAGGCUAAGCAAAUAAUUGCUGUGGGAAGACCCUGUUUUGGGAUGAUGAAUGUAUGAAGUGCGCUGUAGUCAACAGUGAGAGUGCUCUGUGAUUGGAGCUGCAGCCCUUCCAAGCUGCUUGACCUUGUUUCCCAGAAAGCUGUUGUAAGCUAAAAAGGCAUCAAAGUUUACCAACAUAGUCAGUAUUUUGUCAAGCUGGCAAGCUCAGCAGAACCAAAUGAUGGCUGAACACAUGAAGAAAUCUGCUGCAGACGUGACCCAGUUUGCUGGACAAAUUCCUCUCAGUGACCUCUUAAGCUUCUCAGAGCAAAAGCAAACUUGUCUAUAAAGGACAACUGUCCUGCCAACACCCACUCCAAUACUUGCAAACAAGUUGGUGAAUCACACAGAGGUGGUUGGAGGAUAGUCACCUGUUCUGGCUGUGCUGCCAGCUGACGUGCAGUAAUUUCCUUUUCUGAAAUGUGCUUCCUGCAGAGAUCCACAAACAUCUUCAAAGUGUGGAGCCUGGAAAUCUCAUCACAUUUUCCAGUGGGGAAAGAUGGGACCUUUGGGCAGCCGGGUGGACAGAGAGGUACAGGGUGAGCAGCUUCCUGCACAUCCCCUGAAAGCAAUGGGAGGUUGAGGCCCCAUUGCUCACCCCGGUGCCCCUGAAACGAGCGCAGGCUGCUUUGCACAGCACCCCUCAGCUGCUGCUGCUCUUGCACACGGCUGACUUCCUCCAACUCACUUCUUCCCUGGCACCGGCCCUGCAGCACCUGCACGGCUCCAACCCACUGCUGGGCACCGCUCUGCGGAGAUAACCACGUGCAGCAGCGAGGGACGAGUCUCAGCAGGGAGAGCGUGGGCACAGCGGGGGAUUGCAGGCAGAAAUAAAAAAACCCUACAAUCAAAUAAAGCCCGUGCUUUAAAGGAGAUAAGAUCAGAGCCUCUGCGGAAUGGCGACGGGCGGAUUGGAACAAGCUCGGUGUGCGUUCGCCUUAUCCCGCGUUCUCUCCCCCGGGCUCAGCGUCGCUCCCAGGGCUGAGCGCAGGAGGACGCCGCUCCAUCGCAGCGCUGCCGACGCGGGGAUGCCUGCAGGCCAAGGGGAGACUUUGACAUCUGAUCCGGUCGUGACCCCACGGCUGGGGCCGAUUGCGUUCCAAAGCCGCACCAGUCACGUUCCCACCGCACACCUCCAAAACCCCCCCCGGGUGCCUUCCAGCGCCUCCUGCCCUCCCUGCUGACACCGACACGUGAAGCGGCGCCGCGUGACCUCACCGUACAAACUCGUACCGGCUCCUUCAACCCCCGUUCGUCAUUCACCCAUCCCCAUCCCAACCCCUGCGGGGCACCGCGCUGCUUUGGGCGCAUCGCAGCAGGACGUGUCCCAACCCCUCCUGCCGCCGGAGCCGGGAUUUGGGAGCUCCGGCCGUGAGUCAGCGCCGCACCUGAGACACCGACUCAUCCCGUGCGGGACACGCAGCUGUGCAUCAACUGCUUCAAUGAACUCCGGGGUAUUUCUUUUCUUCUUCCUGUUUUAAGUACGUACGCGCGUCGGGUGAUAGGGAAGACCGGCGUGAGAUUGGAGUUUCUGUGCGGAGCUCGCAGCCUUAGGGGAAAUUGGCUUCUGUGCACAAAGCGUCUGAGUCAGCCCUGGGGAAGAACUGCAUCCACACGUAACGUGACUGCGUUCUGCCCUCCGGUGCAGCUUAUAACGAAAAGUAUCGUUUAAAUUACCGGGAAGAAAUCAGUGCUGCCAACUGCUGGAAACCUCAGUGAAACCCCAUGGGGGGGGUUUAUCCUCUCAGUUGCUUCACCCUCACAAGUGGUGGUAUUACAGUGUGAGCAGCCCCACGAGCUGCAGUGUUACUUUGGCACCACGGGACUGGUGUGGGAUCUCACAGCAGAGCCCCGUUUCCCAGAACCCAACCAGCAUCCACCUGCUGGCACGUUUGCAUGCUGCUCUAAAGGUCAGCACUAACCAGAAAGAUCCCCUGCCACGCUAUCUGAGAGCCUGCACCAAGGAGAAGCUUCACCAUGCAGAAAUCCCCACUGGAGCAGCACAAACCCUGCAGGCAGGGCUGGCAUUUAUCACAGCCACGAAACGGCCCCAGUGCCCAGAAUGUCACCUGCCUGCAAACCACACUAAGGGCCGCAGCUCCCUCGCACACCAGGCUGGCACUGAUGGCCGCUCCUUAACCAGCCCUGCAUCACAGCAGCGGGGCAAUGUCAGCUCCAAGUGGCAUCUGACACAGGCUGAGUUAUCCCAUUGUCUCAGCAUCCUCACCCAGGCCAGCUGGCUGAGAUCUGCAGCUCUGGGGCAGCAGAGAAGGAUCUGAGCUGGCACUGGGAGUCCCAGCAGCAGAGCACCACGCUGUGGGGCAGCACAUGCAUCUGUUCUGCAUCGCACGCGGUGUCUGCAAGGCUCCUCAGCUCUCACAGACCUCGAGGGUGGGAGCAAAGCUCUGCUCUGCUGGAUGGGACAAAGAUCUGCAUGGCCUAAGAACAGCCUAAAACAAAAAACAAAAAAACAAAAAAACAAAAAAAAACCCAACAGUACAACCUGGAAAAACCCAAACAGCACCAACAUCCAGCUGCAGGAAGCGUUCCUGGGCUCUCCUCCAACUCAGUUGUUCUGGGUGAGACAGAACGUACCGCACAGCCCACGUGCAUCACUGACCCUGCUCCUGCACUGCUCUCCACAUGGAGCUGAGGGCAGCAGGGCUGAGCAUGGACACAUCUGGCUGAACACCAACGCAGUUGGCCCUGUGCUCAGCCUUAACCACUGCCUGGGCAGACCCGGACUCUGUGAACCCCACAUUUUGUCUUAUGGGCAGAAAAAGCAACACAGGGCAUCCCGACACCCCAGGUGGGAGGCAGCCAUGCAGCAAUGGGCUCACAUCCCUGAAAGGUCUUUGUUCACAAAAAACAUGCCCAGAAGAAGCCCCUCUCUCUCUAGAGGAACCACCCAGCCAGACCAGCAACCAACUCUAAUCAUAGCAUCACUUAGGCUGGAAGAGACCCUACGAGGCCAUCAAGCCCAACUGAUCCACGCUGGUGCAUGGGAGCAGAGCAGGAGCUGCCCCUCACCAUGUGUUUCACUGUGCUCUGAACAACUCACUGGGGGAAAACAACCCAUGUCAAAGCCCAGGCUCUUCCCAGAAACAACUCAGCAAAAAGAGCCCUAAAAAAGCCAAACUCAUUCAAGAUGGAAGAGAAGAACAUUGUGUCAGCCCUGCCCCGGAUGCACAGUGCCCAGCUGGGGCACCCUGGUGACUUCCACAAGCGACUGUAAAAAGCCCUGAGGGAAGUGAGGCAGUGAUGGGCAGUGGUGGCUGAUGGCAGCGUGGGGGC